Arachis duranensis is the source of this 1481-nucleotide RNA transcript. It is a transcript of the gene named DNA repair protein RAD51 homolog 2, with no coding region annotated. The transcript is spliced from 14 exons. The record is from RefSeq and is a predicted model, not a curated record. Lineage: Eukaryota; Viridiplantae; Streptophyta; Magnoliopsida; Fabales; Fabaceae.
GGCAGCAGUGGCGAAAUAUUUGAUUUUCAGUUUUUGCGGCCGGAAAAGAGGCUUGUGGUUUUGGCGGGAAGGAGCAGAGAGAGGCAGAGAGUGAAGGAGUGAAAGAUCAAAGAUGGCGAACAAGCUCAUCAAGCAGAUGGGAUUGCCAAAUUCCAUUGCUAACAUCUUCACUGCUCGCAACAUCAUCACUGCCAAGGAUGCAUUGUCUCUGACUGAAUUUGAGUUGAUGGAACAAUUGGACGUUGGGAUGGCAGAAGUAAAAUCUGCAAUGGCACAUAUCAGUGAAGUUGUUUGUCCGCCUUGUCAAACUGCAUUGCUUCUGAUGGAGCAGCGAGUGCGCGAUGAGAGAUCGGCCGGUCAUCUUCCAACUCGUUUGAGAGGAUUGGAUGAAGCCUUGUGUGGCGGCCUACCCUUUGGUGUUGUGACAGAGUUGGUUGGUCCUGCUGGAAUUGGCAAAACGCAGUUUUGCUUGAAGCUCUCACUGCUGGCAUCUUUGCCGGCAAAUUGUGGAGGCUUAGAUGGGCGUGUCAUAUAUAUUGAUGUUGAAUCCAAAUUUAGUUCAAGAAGGUUGAUACAGAUUGGAAUAGAGAAUUUUCCUGAAAUAUUUCUCAAGAAAGGAAUGGCACAGGAGAUGGCUGGUAGAAUCGUUAUUCUGCGUCCCACAUCACUUUCUGAGUUCACUGAGAGUUUGCACCAUGUCCAAGUAUCACUCCUCCAGAAACAAGUGAAGUUGCUCAUUAUUGAUAGCAUGGCUGCCCUUGUUUUAGGUGAGCAUGAUUGUGGAGCUUCUAGACAACAAGUAUUGGGUUGGCAUGUUUCUUUUAUCAAGUCACUUGCAGAAUUUUCACGAAUUCCAAUAGUAGUGACAAAUCAAGUAAGAUCUCAAACUGGUGAUGAACCUCUUACGUUUUCCUUUCAAGCACGAAGCCACUCUAUAAAAAAAGAAGAUCGUGCUUCAUAUGAUUCUCAUCUUGUUGCUGCUCUGGGCAUUAAUUGGGCUCAUGCUGUGACCAUCCGUCUUGUACUUGAGGCCAGAUCAGGUCAAAGAUUUAUCAAGUUAGCAAAAUCUCCCAUUUCUCCUCCUUUGGCUUUCCCUUUUAACAUAACUUCAUCAGGGUUGGUUCUUCUGGAUGAUGAUGGGAUAGAGAUGAAAGGAUCAGAAAUAAACACUAUCCACUGCCAAGGCCAAAAAGCUUUGUUCAAUUCUGAAUGGUGAAGUAGACCAGUUGCCUUAACCUGCUCAAUUAAUCCCUUUCUCCAAGACAUUACCAGUUUUAAAUUCAGGUUCACGGAAAAAAUCAUGUGCUGAAGCCUUGUUUGUCUCACGAAGACAUUAAAAAGCCUCCUAUCUUCUUCGGUAAUGUAACAAUAUUUUUUUAGAAUAAAAAACUCUUUAUAAUUGAACUGAUUUUUUGAAUUAAUUCAUUAAAAUUUGACGUAAUAGAAAAAUAAAAAUAUAAAAAUGAAGAUUUUUUUUAAAU